AUAAAUAACACAUGAAGCAAAUUUAAGGUAACAAUAAACAAGAUUUUAUAGGAAACAAGCAGUACCUAUGAACAAUGAUAUAAAUAUAAAGUUUUAUUUAAAUUUAAAAGUCUUAUAAUAUGACCUAACCAUCACAAUUACCACCAGCUCCUCCAAAUUGGAGAGCCGCAGGUCCAAUCUCCUUUCCUUGAUUAGCAUAGAAUUUAGCAUUAUAACAUUGAGGUUUGUCAGUGAAUCUUUGUAUCAAAAAUUUGUUUGGUGAAAGUUUUUUCUAGAGUUAUUCUGAUAUGUAAUAUAUCUAAAAUAACUCGCAUGAUCAAAUAUAUCAUCCGCUCUCCAAAAACAAAUAUUUGAACUAUAUCUCACAACAAUCUUAUACAAGAAUAUAAGAAAAAAAAUAAAAGAAUUAAAUACAAAGUUAAAAUAUUUAUAACUUGUACAGAUUAUAAUAAAAAACUAGAGUCAUAUAUAUAAAUAUUGAGUUUCAUCUUUCUUUCAAUUCUAAGUAAUAUGAAACUAUAUAUAUAAUAAUUUGAACGGUGAUUUUUUAUCACAUAAAACACUUGAGGUUUUUUCUACUUCAUGGCUCAACUUUGAUUCAAUGGUUUACAUCCAAUUUUAUUUUUCUAACGUUGUGUACUAUGAACUCAAGAUAUUUAAACAAUGUCACUCGUUAUUAUGAAAUAUUCUUUUGCGAUUCUACUGGACAAGUGCAUCUUGUGUUAGUGGAAGCUGAAUCACAUUUUCAACACACUCAAUCAAAUCUCUCAAGUUUCCUAUCUUAUGGAAAAGAAAUGAUGAAGAGGUUUCAUUGGAAGAACUUAAUAAGGUGUCUAAAUGUUGAUUACAUUUAAGAAUAAGUGGAUGUGGUCUAGAGGGCAAACUAUUUGAGCGACCAUGGAAACUGGAUUUUGUGUUCAAAGAAGAAGAUGUUGCCAUUUUGAUUCCUUAAGAAAAGAGAAAGAGAUCACUUAAGGCUUGAUGUUGAAUGUGCUUCAUUAUUUCC
RNAcentral lists this long non-coding RNA (1006 nucleotides) under Cicer arietinum (chickpea). Its description in RNAcentral is "long non-coding RNA (CARI_LNC003763)". The record is from RNAcentral. Lineage: Eukaryota; Viridiplantae; Streptophyta; Magnoliopsida; Fabales; Fabaceae.